Molecule: ribosomal RNA, 302 nt
Filed under: uncultured bacterium
Lineage: Bacteria
Description: bacterial SSU rRNA
Rfam family: Bacterial small subunit ribosomal RNA
Source: RNAcentral
GUAGUCCACGCCCUAAACGAUGUGCACUAGACUGGAGCGGCUCUGACGUCGUUCUGGUCGUAGAGAAAUUGUUAAGUGCACCGCCUGGGUAGUACGGUCGCAAGGCUAAAACUCAAAGGAAUUGACGGGGGCUCACACAAGCGGUGGAGCAUGUUGCUUAAUUCGAAGCAACGCGAAGAACCUUACCUGGGUUUGACAUGCACGGAUUAACCGGUGGAAACACUGGCCACACUCGCAAGAGUGGAACGUGCACAGGUGCUGCAUGGCUGUCGUCAGCUCGUGCUGUGAAGUGUCGGGUUAAG